This 1359-nucleotide ribosomal RNA is filed under the name Triticum aestivum (bread wheat). Its description in RNAcentral is "partial small subunit ribosomal RNA". The record is from RNAcentral. Lineage: Eukaryota; Viridiplantae; Streptophyta; Magnoliopsida; Poales; Poaceae.
AUGGACGGGCUAGGGCAUACCGCCUUGGUGGCGCAGCUCGUCGGGACCGUGGGCAGGCUCAUCUCCAAGAUCAUUGAUGCUGCGAGGACGGCACGCCAGAACAAGCGGGAGUGCGAGUACCUCGCCGUCCUCCUGUCCAUCAUCGGCGACGUGCUUCCUCGCCUGCCGCAUGACGCGGAUGUGGAUCGGCCGCUCAGAGAGCUGGGCAAGACGCUGGGCGAAGCGCACGAGCUGGUCCUCGCCUGCCAGAAUUGGAGCACAGCCAGGCAGCUCAUCGGCGCCCGCUGCCAUGCCGACAGCUUGAAGGAGGUCAGUACGAGGAUCGACUCCUACAUCAACCUCUUGAACUUGGUCUUUAAUACCACCGCCGGCCGCUCCCCUCGCAACCACACGACGACAGCGCCGUCGCCGGGCAGUUCCUCUCGUCCUGCCGGCCCCGUGAGGCUCACGUGGGCGGAUACAGCAGCGGCGACCAAUUACUUCGCCGACGAACUCAGACGAGGCAGCUCGGAGGCGUUGUACAAGGGCCGUCUCCGCGACGGCCCGGAGGUGGCCGUGAAGGUGCUGAACAAGAACGGGCGGCACAACGUGGAGGGCGCGUUCGUGGCAGAGCGCUACAUCCUCUCCCCCCUCCGGCACGACCACAUCGUGCGACUCGUCGGCUGGUGCUCCGAUGAGGAGGACCGCAUGUUCGUCUACGAGCACGAGCAAAUGAGCAACGGCACGCUCAGAGACCACCUGAUGCGCCUGCGCCGGCGCGCGCGCGUUCGAGCGCGCCUGCGGGGCGGCUCCUCUAGCUCGUCGCCGGUGAGGGCGACCUGGAAGGCGCGCGUCGAGGUGCUGGUGGGCGCGUCGCAGGCCAUCGAGCACUUGCACGGCCGCGCGGUCAUCCAUCGCAACGUCAGCUCGUUCAACAUCCUCCUUGACGGAAGCUGGUCACCGCGCCUGUCUGGCUUCGGCGAAGCGAUCUUGCAGGAGGCGACCGGCGACCAGCUUGUCGCCGAGGUCGUCGGCACGCCCAGUUAUCUCGACCCGGAGUACCGCCGCACGGGGCGUGUGAGCCCGGCCAGCGAUGUGUACAGCUUCGGGACGGUGAUGCUAGAGGCGCUGACGGGGGAGGAUCCGGCCACUCUGCAGGUGGACUCCGCGCUGCUGGCCAUACGGAACAACAAGCUGCGGGAUGUGCUGGACCGCCGCCCGGCCACGGCGGGGCAGCUGGAGGCGCUGGAGCUCGUGGCACGCACGGCGGAGUGCUGCCUGUACCCGCAUGGGAAGGACAGGCCGGCCAUCUCGAAGGUUGUGGUCAGCCUCGCGAGGGCGCUCCUGAUCAUAAAUUUUACUCCAUCCGUUUCAAAAUAG